GUCCUUUUGUUUAUUUAUUUAAGGUUUGACCUGCCCAAUGAGGAAUUGAAUGGCCGCAGUAUUCUAACUGUGCUAAGGUAGCAUAAUCAUUUGUCUUUUAAUUGAGGGCUGGAAUGAAGGGUUGGACGAGGUAUUGACUUUCUUUAAUUUAAUUUGAGGAAUUUAAUUUUUGAGUUAAAAAGCUUAAAUUUAUUUAUGGGACGAGAAGACCCUAUAGAUCUUUAUAGUUUUAUAUUUUGGUAAUUUAGGGAUUUAUAUACUUUAAGUAGAUUAACUAUUUUGUUGGGGUGACUGUAGAAUUUAAAUAACUUCUAUUUUUUAUUUUCAUUAAUUAGUGUUUUUAUGAUCCAUAGUUUAUGAUUAGAAGAUUAAG
This 373-nucleotide ribosomal RNA is filed under the name Triatoma sherlocki. RNAcentral describes it as "partial 16S ribosomal RNA". The record is from RNAcentral. Lineage: Eukaryota; Metazoa; Arthropoda; Insecta; Hemiptera; Reduviidae.